Molecule: long non-coding RNA, 2889 nt
Organism: Saccostrea cuccullata (small rock oyster)
Lineage: Eukaryota; Metazoa; Mollusca; Bivalvia; Ostreida; Ostreidae
Exons: 3
Source: RefSeq, a predicted model, not a curated record
AAAGGCCACUUGGAACAAAGCUAUUAAUGUGGACAAGUCUGACUAUGGAAACAUAGUAGAUCUCACAUUAACUUUGAUACAGAUUCUCCUACACUCUCACCACAUAAUGUCCCAUCAUCAGCCACGAAAUCCUGACCUAGUCAAAGAUCACCACGUAAUGUCCCAUCGUCAUCGACCACUUAGUCCAAGAGAAAAAGAUCUGACAGAAACCAGUACUCAGAAACAUGACAUCAUCGGCUUUGCCGACCCGUGACUUGAUUUAGAAAGACCCUGACCUCGAAUUCUCUGUGUAUUGAUUGUGCAAUACAGUUUUUACUGGGCGUGAUGCAGGACAAGCAGAAGAAAAACAACAAACACGCAGAUCAGUUUCAGCGGAUCUCAGAGACGCUGUCCAUUCUUAACUGGGUCAAUGAGACUGAAGAGUCAGUUGUUAGAAUGAGAUGUUACCACCGGAGAACCGACUGGAACCGCUGAGUCUGAAGAGUCAGUUGUUAGAACCAGAUGUUACCACCGGAGAACCGACUGGAACCACUGAGUCUGAAGAGUCAGUUGUUAGAACCAGAUGUUACCACUGGAGGAUUGACUGGAACCACUGAGUCUGAAGAGUCAGUUGUUAGAACCAGAUGUUACCACCGGAGGACCGACUGGAACCGCUGAGUCUGAAGAGUCAGUUGUUAGAAUGAGAUGUUACCACCGGAGAACCGACUGGAACGGCUGAGUCUGAAGAGUCAGUUGUUAGACCCAGAUGUUACCACCGGAGAACCGACUGGAACCGCUAAGUCUGAAGAGUCAGUUGUUAGAAUGAGAUGUUACCACCGGAGGACCGACUGGAACCGCUGAGUCUGAAGAGUCAGUUGUUAGAAUGAGAUGUUACCACCGGAGAACCGACUGGAACCGCUAAGUCUGAAGAGUCAGUUGUUAGAAUGAGAUGUUACCACCGGAGAACCGACUGGAACCGCUAAGUCUGAAGAGUCAGUUGUUAGAACCAGAUGUUACCACCGGAGAACCGACUGGAACCGCUGAGUCUGAAGAGUCAGUUGUUAGACCCAGAUGUUACCACCGGAGAACCGACUGGAACCGCUAAGUCUGAAGAGUCAGUUGUUAGAACCAGAUGUUACCACCGGAGAACCGACUGGAACCGCUAAGUCUGAAGAGUCAGUUGUUAGAAUGAGAUGUUACCAAUGGAGAACCGACUGGAACCGCUAAGUCUGAAGAGUCAGUUGUUAGAAUGAGAUGUUACCACCGGAGAACUGACUGGAACUGCUGAGUCUGAAGAGCCAGUUGUUAGACCCAGAUGUUACCAUCCGAGGACUGACUGUAACCACUGAGUCUGAAGAGUCAGUUGUUAGAACCAGAUGUUACCACCGGAGGACUGACUGGAACUGCUGAGUCUGAAGAGCCAGUUGUUAGACCCAGAUGUUACCACCGGAGGACCGACUGGAACCACUGAGUCUGAAGAGCCAGUUGUUAGAACCAGAUGUUACGACCGGAGGACUGACUGGAACCGCUGAGUCUGAAGAGCCAGUUGUUAGACCCAGAUGUUACCACCGGAGGACCGACUGGAACCACUGAGUCUGAAGAGCCAGUUGUUAGACCCAGAUGUUACCAUCCGAGGACCAACUGUAACAGCUAAGUCUGAAGAGUCAGUUGUUAGAACGAGAUCCGGAUGAAGAGCAGGGGAACCAGUAAAAUGUAGCAGUAUAUGCGGUUGAUAUAGAACUGGACACAUUAUAUUUUUAUUUUUUAACUUAAUUAAUUUGCUAUAUGGUCUUUAUGUUUUAACUUUUAUGAUAUCUAAAAUUUCAAGCUUCCUUUGGAAUGUAUUAUAUUAGAGAAAUUGGAUAACAUACGUUAAAGUGUAACAAAUUGUGUUAUCAAUUUAGGAAAUUAACUUUUAAUUGACUGGGUUUUUAUUUAGUCUAAAGGGAUAAUUUCAAAAUUUUACCAUUUAUAUUUUCCUUUUUUUUUUAAAUUACUGCAAGUGUAAUCUAGUCUGCAUCUCUAUAUUAUGUACAUACAGAUCCUUGACAUAUGGCUCUGUAAUAUCUCUUGAUGUGAGAAGAUAAUAGAAUUAUACAUGUAUGCAUUUCCAUAUUGAUGCCUAUAGCCAAUUUAAGGUCACUAAAGUCCAUCUAUUAUAGGUUGUUUUUCCUACUUUUUCCUUACUGCUUUUAGGAAUUAAACCAGUUUUAGGUAUGAUGUCUAUUGGCCAAUUAUUCAAGAGAGUUAUUGCCCUUAGACCGUUGAAUUUUUUUUUUACUUUGUUGACCUAGUACAUGUAGACAAAUUGUAUUAGACAGAGUGUAUAUGUAGGGUUAUGUUUCAAAUUACUGUUUCUUGAUAUUGAUGGCAGUUAUAAGAUUAAAGUUAAGGACAAGUGAUACAAACAAAUGAAUGUAUGGAUAGAUAUAAUUUAUUUUAUUUUCUUUGUGUAUGAUGUAAAAUAUUGAAUUGCUAAAAUGAAAAUAAAUUGAAUUGCUACUAUAGAGAUUGUAAAUUAUUGACUUUUUAUGAAUUGUUCAGAAUUUUAUCUUUUUUGCCAUCUUCCUUCGAAAUAUUUACUAUUUAUCACUUUAUAAUAUGACAUUAUUAUGAAACUUUAGGAUGAAAAAGUGCAAAUUUGUGCUGUUUUUGUGAGAACAAAAGUUUGUAGGUUUUUUAAUUUUUUAUUAAAGUUUUCAGGAGAGUUAUUGCCCUUAGACUGUGAAAAUUUCUAAUUGUUCACUGUUGAGCUGGUAUAAAUGAACUAUUCUGUAGAAUUUAUUUUUAAUUAAAUAUUAUCAUCAUUAAUUCAUAAUUAGACCAUACAAAUUUUUUAAUACAUGUCAGCUUUAAAUCAUUCUCUUCAAGUUUUGUGAAUUUAGAAUGUUAGAAUUUAAUAAAUUAUAU